GUUGCCACAAGUCCUCCUGUUCUUUUUGCGAAUACAGACUAACACGGCUGCUGCUCUGAAACCUUUCCAUAAGCACUUAGUUUCUAUCAGUGACAUAACAGAAGCAUCCCUAUAAAUUGGCAUCAGUCCUGUGAGAGCUCCAGUAGCCUGGCCGGAGGGCACAGCAGCUGGAAGGCGCUCCAGAGGCUGCAGGAGGAGCAAACGUUCGUUCUCCAGGCACAGAGAUAACCAGCAGUUGCCUGAAUACUUGUAACGAGUGAUAUAACUUCAUGAAUUCUAACCAGUUGAAGUUGGUGCUUUUAGUCAAAGCUCUGAAAUACCCCGGACCCAGUUAUCUUGGAGACCAGCCUCUUUAACAGUGGUGACCAAGUAUCAGAGACUGUCUGGUCUGGCCAAUGUACAUGGCAGAGGGACCAUGCCACAGUGUUCACCAGAGUUCAAAGCAGUUUCACUUUCUUCAUCUUUUGUCAUCACUUUGUACCAGACAAGCCAGAAGAGAGAACUCUGUUUACAGCACUCCCCUCACUGAGACCAAGUGCACAAAACCAAAGAUGACUCCAUUACAACAUAAAUGUGGAAUGCUGUUAAUUGUGUAACUAGAAACGCUCCUCUAAGGCAGAGAGGUGUCAAAUAACUCCUGGAGACCCAAGCUUUCUAUUUAAAUAAAAAGCAAAUCUCUAGCCCUUUGCCAUGCAGAGAAACCUCAGAAUGUUCUUCUGUUUAUGUUCCAUCAAAACUGAAGCAAAUCAGAGAAGCCCUUGAAGCUAAGAGGUCACCAUAGUUAGAAUAGAAAUUUGUUCAAAUACUUUUUUUGGGGGGAGGGCAGAUCCUAGCUGGAGAACAGAGAGAGGAAGAUAUUUAAAAGUUCAUUUUCCCAUCCCACCGCCUGAUCUUCCUCACCUCCACUCUCAUCCCCUCCAUUCUGAGAGCAGACUGCGCCAUCUGGUAUAGUUGAGCUGAUUUUAACCUUAAAAACAAUGAGGAGAUGCAUCUGAAGAAGUGGGCUUUUUUACUCAUGAAAGCUUAUGCCCAAAUAAAUCUGUUAGUCUUUAAGGUACCACCGGACUCCUGGUUGUUUUUGUGGAUACAGACUAACAUGGCUACCCCCGAUACUUGAUUUUAACCUUGACUCUUCUAAGCUCUAAAAUCUGCACAGCUACACAGAUUGCCUUGAAAUAUGGUGUGCCUCAUGGGAUUGUGGGGUAGGGGCAGUGGUCCGAAUUUGGGGUCAUUUGACCUAGAGGUUCAAGAGAUACAGCUCCCUGAAAAAACUUCUAGACAGCUGUUAAGAAAGCCAUAUUUGAAAUGGGAAAAAUACAUUACACAUAAUGUAAUAUGUGUGCAAUAAACAUGGCUAAUAAGUAAAGUUCAGUUCAACCUAUCAGGAUAUGAUGUACUCCGGAGAG
Molecule: long non-coding RNA, 1406 nt
Organism: Caretta caretta (loggerhead turtle)
Lineage: Eukaryota; Metazoa; Chordata; Testudines; Cheloniidae
Source: RefSeq, a predicted model, not a curated record